This 429-nucleotide ribosomal RNA is filed under the name Chloroflexota bacterium. RNAcentral's name for it is "Chloroflexi bacterium partial 16S ribosomal RNA". It matches the Rfam family "Bacterial small subunit ribosomal RNA", at positions 355 to 776 of the family's 1533-position model. The record is from RNAcentral. Lineage: Bacteria; Bacillati; Chloroflexota.
UGGGGAAUAUUGCACAAUGGGCGCAAGCCUGAUGCAGCCAUGCCGCGUGUAUGAAGAAGGCCUUCGGGUUGUAAAGUACUUUCAGCGGGGAGGAAGGGAGUAAAGUUAAUCCCUUUGCUCAUUGACGUUACCCGCAGAAGAAGCACCGGCUAACUCCGUGCCAGCAGCCGUGGUAAUACGGAGGGUGCAAGCGUUAAUCGGAAUUACUGGGCGUAAAGCGCACGCAGGCGGUUUGUUAAGUCAGAUGUGAAAUCCCCGGGCUCAACCUGGGAACUGCAUCUGAUACUGGCAAGCUUGAGUCUCGUAGAGGGGGGUAGAAUUCCAGGUGUAGCGAUGAAAUGCGUAGAGAUCUGGAGGAAUACCGGUGGCGAAGGCGGCCCCCUGGACGAAGACUGACGCUCAGGUGCGAAAGCGUGGGGAGCAAACAGG